RNAcentral lists this long non-coding RNA (755 nucleotides) under Agrilus planipennis (emerald ash borer). RNAcentral's name for it is "uncharacterized LOC108735434, transcript variant X3". The record is from RNAcentral. Lineage: Eukaryota; Metazoa; Arthropoda; Insecta; Coleoptera; Buprestidae.
GAUAAUUAUAUAUUGAAGUUUUACAGAUACAAAUUUUGAUAUAGAAAUGGAAAGAAGAAAAGCGCCUGUUUCAAGAAUGAGACGUAGUGUUAAUAAUAACAGUAAUUGUUCAGUGGACAGUUUUGAUCUUCCAAAAACUGUGGUCACCUCAGGAGGUAAAAAAUUGCAAAGAUCUUUACAAAGACUGGAACAGGAGCAAGACGAAUUUUUCGAAUUGUAGCGAAAAAUGAAAUUUUUUCUAGAAAAGAUUGUCCUUUAUUAUUUGGACAAAGUCAGUGCAUCAUUGUCUCUUUACAUGCUCACGACGAGUAUGUAAAUUGUGCUUACUACCAAAGGAAUACAUAGUUAGAUAAAUUACAUAUAUAACUAAAAUAACAAUAACAAAAUUGAUUUUUUCUUCUCAUUAAUGUGGAAAAAUAUUUUACUUAUAUUCUUUGACUCUAUUCCACGAAAAGCAAAGUCAAAACGACGUUAUAAUUGCCGUUUUGGCCUCUAUUUGCAAUCUUGCCAUAUAAAUUAACAUGACAUUUUAUUUUUCGAAAUUUUUUGUCUAUUUGAUUAAAACACUGCAACUUUCCUUAAAGCAUUGCUUUUGGGUUAAAACUGUUUAAAUAUACUGCAUUUUUAGUGUCUUUAAUUCCUGAAAAAUGUUCCUUUUUAUCUAGUAAAUAGAUAUUAAUAAAAAUUGUUUUCAAAUAAUAACGCAGCAGAUAGCAUUCACACAUGAAGUCGGAGUUGAUAGUUAAAUAUGCGUU